GUAGUCUCGCACAGAUGCAUAUCAAUAAGCGGAGGAAAAGAAACUAACAAGGAUUCCCUAGUAACGGCGAGUGAAGCGGGAAGAGCUCAAAUUUGAAAUCUUAAAGGGUUUCCCUUUACGAAUUGUAGUUUAAAGAAGUGUUUUCUGUUGAAGUUUUGGUAAAAGUUCUUUGGAAUAGGACAUCAUAGAGGGUGAGAAUCCCGUAUUUGACCAUUAUUUUCAGCUGUGUGAUACACUUUCAAAGAGUCGGAUUGUUUGGGAAUGCAGUCCAAAAUGGGUGGUAAAUUUCAUCUAAAGCUAAAUAUUGGCGAGAGACCGAUAGCGAACAAGUACCGUGAGGGAAAGAUGAAAAGAACUUUGAAAAGAGAGUUAAACAGUACGUGAAAUUGUCAAAAGGGAAGCGUUUGACACCAGUGUUGUUUUCUCGAAAAUCAAUUAAAAAGAGUUUAGAUUUUGUUGUGUAUUGACCUUAACAGCUUGCAUUUCAAUUUUCUUGCUUUUUUUAAUGCACUUUUCGUUUAACAAGUCAACAUCAGUUUCUUUUGUUGUAAAAAGGUCAUUGGAAGGUGGCUUUCUUUUCGGAGAAAGUGUUUAUAGCCUUUGACUCCUGCAAUCGGAGAGACUGAGGUCUGCAGCGUAGAUCCUUCGAGGUUAGAUACAUUUGUGCUAAGUUAUAGCUUUUUAUAGACAACUUGUUGACUAUGAUUAGUCUUGUAGCUUACUCGCUUAUGCUAUUUUACCUACGCUUAGGAUGUUGAGCGCAUGUCUCUCUCU
RNAcentral lists this ribosomal RNA (774 nucleotides) under uncultured Neocallimastigales. RNAcentral's name for it is "partial large subunit ribosomal RNA". It matches the Rfam family "Eukaryotic large subunit ribosomal RNA", at positions 24 to 616 of the family's 3401-position model. The record is from RNAcentral. Lineage: Eukaryota; Fungi; Neocallimastigomycota; Neocallimastigomycetes; Neocallimastigales.